This 180-nucleotide ribosomal RNA is filed under the name uncultured Glomeromycotina. RNAcentral describes it as "partial small subunit ribosomal RNA". Lineage: Eukaryota; Fungi; Glomeromycota. The record is from RNAcentral.
GGCCUGGUUGGGUGGUCUUGCCGCAAGGUAAGCACUGCUCCGAUCGGGUCUUUCCUUCUGGGGAACCAGCGUGCUCUUAAUUGGGUGCGUUGGGGAUCCAGGACUUUUACUUUGAAAAAAUUAGAGUGUUCAAAACAAGCUUAUGCUUGAAUACAUUAGCAUGGAAUAACGGAAUAGGAC